RNAcentral lists this ribosomal RNA (448 nucleotides) under uncultured bacterium. RNAcentral's name for it is "bacterial SSU rRNA". It matches the Rfam family "Bacterial small subunit ribosomal RNA", at positions 28 to 509 of the family's 1533-position model. The record is from RNAcentral.
GAUGAACGCUGGCGGCGUGCCUAAUACAUGCAAGUUGUGCGGUAACAGAGAGAGCUUGCUCUCUGCUGACGAGCGGCGGACGGCAGAGUAACGCGUAGGAACAUACCCCAAACUGAGGGAUAACUGCUCGAAAGAGUAGCUAAUACCGCAUGUGGUCUUCGGAUUAAAGCUUCGGCGGUUUGGGAGUGGCCUGCGUCCGAUUAGCUAGUUGGUGAGGUAAUUGCUCACCAAGGCGACGAUCGGUAGCUGGUCUGAGAGGAUGAUCAGCCUGACUGGAACUGAGAACGGUCCAGACUCCUACGGGAGGCAGCAGUAGGGAAUUUUCCACAAUGGGCGAAAGCCUGAUGGAGCAACGCCGCGUGCAGGAUGAAUGCCUUCGGGUUGUAAACUGCUUUCUGUGUGAGAAUAUGACGGUAACACAGGAAUAAGGGUCGGCUAACUACGUGCC